CGGGCCCCGGUGGGGCGGCCACCCGGGGUCCCGGCCCUCGCGCGUCUUUCCUCCUCCUCCUCCUCCUGCUAACCAGAAGAAGAAAAAAUAACCGGAAGAAAUAUAAAUCUAUGUUUCAACACGUACUAAGAAUUAUAACUGUGGAAAAUUUUGAAUUAUUGCGGAAUUAAUUCUAUUAGAAGGAGGAAUUAUAAAUAGGUGAGAGAUCCGAAACAGAAACCACGUCAUUAAUUUUCUUUUAUUCCUCCAGAGAGAGAGGACUGAUGACAAAUUAUUGAGUAUAAAAUUUUUGCUAUAAAAAUUUGACGAAUGGAUAAUGGCAAGACUAAGCGUGAAAAAUUACUUUCAUAAUCUCCGAAGUGGAGAAGGAUAGUUCUAUCAAUCUCGACAGAGUUGGUGUUUUCAGCUGUCGUUUCUAGUUUGAUAUUGAGCACAAGAGGGAAAAGUCUUCUAACACAGCUGCUCCGGAUGGGACCGCGGCUGCUGCUCAUAAUUGAAGAACUUAUUGGUGAAGUUUCUGCUUAAUGAUGCUUCUUUAUGGGUAGCCAAAGAAUGGGAAGAAAACUCUUUACGGUUUAUAGUGGUUUAAUGCUAAGAAGGAAGUACAUAACCGAGUUUCUAUGUCGACAAUACCUAUCGUUUCCUUUGCCGUACUUUUAUUCGAUAUUAUACACUCAGGACCGAACUUAAGUUGUUUUUUUUUCUUCUGUAUUGUACAUUUGAUUGAAACGGCAUAUAUAUAUCGUAAAAAUCCACAGAUAAACUUAUUUGUUGUUAAAUAUAAAAACAUAAAUCAUCUUGAAGCGAAUCACGUUCGGGGCGGAAGAAGGAUGACAAUAUCCUGUCUUCGAGAGGUCAAAUAGAAUAUAAAAGAAAUGGUUUGUUUCGGGGUCCAACCUCCCUCCGGGGUACAGUUUGUCGUUGGCAAUCUAAUAGAAAGAUCGGUUGCAAUUUCCCUUGAGAGUAUUGUGGCGAAUUGAAGUUGGUUUCGAUGAAACUACCGAACCCGUUUAAAUGGCUUUGUCAUUAAGAGUUGUAGCUUUUUUCCCAGCAAAAAUGGAAGUAAACAGAAGAAUUGUCGCGAGAUUUUCAACCACUCUACACUUUUUCCUAUUUAUUAACUACUAUCUCCUUCUCUCUCUCUCUCUCUGUUUUUCUUUUUCUUUACCUCGAGAUAAUUAAAGACAUAAAAAGGAUUAAAAACUGAACAACACGCUGAAUGUAACUCAUAAUUAACACGAAACAAAAUUACGCGACAACUUAUCUGAUUUUCUUUUUUUGCAAUUUUUACGUUAUUCUGCAACAAUUACCAGUUUACUUUUUGGUAUUAUUGUUUUGUCUUAAACGUGGGCGAAAUCUAAAACCAUUCAAAAAUUAAGUGGUCGACAUUGAAGUUCGAUUACAGUCACGCUUGUACACAAUUACUUAAGAUUUAGUAAAGAUCCUGUUACUUUUCUUUAAUUUUUAAAUUACAAAUAAACACUUUAUUUUAAUUCUGCAAAGGUAAUUUUCCCUGUAAUCUUCCAUUGUAACAACGGAAAAAGUUUAAAUUCGCAAGCAGAAGUUGUAAACAAUUUCACAAGCUUGCAUUGUAACAACGGAAAGGAAUAAAUUUACAAGUUCACCAUAACUUGUUAAAGAAGUUUCUAAAAAAUCAAACCGCAGUAGAAUAUUAGUUUUAGAAGCAAGUUUUAAAUAUAGAAAACUUUAGACGUAUUUUAUUCCGGUCUAAUUACAUUUAUCGUAAAGCGUAUAUAUAUAUAUAUCUCCACGUUAUCGAACCUUUUUUUAAAAGGAAAAAUAUAUAUAUCUCGAAGAGAGAGAUUUAAUGUAAAAAAAAAAAGUGGAAGCGAAACGAAAGAUUCCAUCAACUUGAGGUGAUUAAGAGAGUUAGUAGAAUUUCCGAAGCUAGCAGCUCGUAGAAAACCAAUUAAAAACUUGGACGUCGAAUUGACUGAUGGUGGGAGGUAAGGCGUGAUUUGAUUCGUCUUUUACCUUCGCUGAUUACAAACCUGAAACUCUUCUGCUGUCGCCUUAAUCCUUGUUUAGUAUCUAGUCUGUACAACCCCGACUUGACGACCUAAUGAACUAUACUGUAUUUAAAACUUCCAGUCGAAAAGAUUUAAGAAAAUUGACAGAAACAUAACUACCUUCCAAACUGCUGAUAUAGAAAGAAUUACUUUUGGAGAAAAUUAUACAUAUAUAAGAGCUCGUUAUCUAUUCCUAAC
This 2228-nucleotide long non-coding RNA is filed under the name Androctonus crassicauda. The record is from RNAcentral. Lineage: Eukaryota; Metazoa; Arthropoda; Arachnida; Scorpiones; Buthidae.